Pelecanus crispus (Dalmatian pelican) is the source of this 1084-nucleotide non-coding RNA. NCBI's taxonomy places the organism in Eukaryota, Metazoa, Chordata, Aves, Pelecaniformes, Pelecanidae. The record is from RefSeq and is a predicted model, not a curated record.
GGCUGCAUUGAAUAUUUUAAAGUUGCUGUCUGAGUUGGACCAACAAACCACAGAGAUGCCAAGAACGGGAAAUGGACCAAUGUCUGUAUGUGUGAAACAAGAAAUGGAAAGUGACCCUCUUCUCAAACCGGCUAACUCAAACACUUUGGGACAAACACUGGACAGCACUGCCUAAAAAAGGCUUUUGACUGGACCCAAACCUGAAAGCACCAGAGAAAAUCAAAUGCUUCCUAUUAAUGUAACCUAACUGUUUUAGAGUGCUACAGUCUUUACAACCUACUGUAGUGUCUAAAUCAUAACCAUUGCUUUUUCUUCAAACAGUGAUAAAUUUUUAGUUUCAUUAUGUUGUUUUGAUUGAAAUGACACUAUAAAUUCUUCAUUUUAAAGUUUCUUAAUUGUAUCUAGAACAAUAGCACAGUUUAGAAACUUUGUCUUCUGAGACUGACAUGUUAUCUGUGAACUAACUUGGGAAGAUCAUAUCCAUGUAUGUGGUUAUUUUGUUUUUAUUGAAAUAGCAAAGUUUCACUGGAAACAAAUUGUGUGCCCACCAUUUUAAAAAGUCCAACAUUUUCUCAAAGCUAGCUUAAUUAUCCAACGGUUGAAUGAAUUAAAACACUUUAGGAAUUUUAAACUUUUUUUGAUCAUUUUUGGUUAAUUUCUAGUUUUCUUGAGUGGGGGGGUAGGGGAACUCGAAUGCAACAUGACUUUAAAUGAUCUCUGAUCUAUGUUUUAAGGAUUGUGUGUAUAGAUGGCACACAGCUCACUACAUUACAGGAUAUGAUCUCAAUGUAGUGCAUAUAAAACCGCAGAUUGAUUUUCCUUGAGUGCUUUAUACUGUUUAAUUACAUCUCCAUGUAGGGCUGAGAAAAAUUACCUAUGUUUAUAUAUAAACUGUGUUGCUUUUGAUGUUGUGUUAUUGUGCACUGAAGUGUGCACAAUAAAGUUUUUUGCAUAUGGUCCAGGUAAAGCACGAUAGCCUUGCAAGUUAAGUACUGCUUCAGUUCAUUGUUUACGCUGGAAUUUUUUCUCCCCAUGGAAUGUAAGUAAAACGUAGUGUUUGUCACCAAUAAAUGGUAAUACUAAA